This 30-nucleotide non-coding RNA is filed under the name Rattus norvegicus (Norway rat). The record is from RNAcentral. Lineage: Eukaryota; Metazoa; Chordata; Mammalia; Rodentia; Muridae.
UACUCUUUAAGAUUAAAUGCAUAUGUGAGU